Molecule: non-coding RNA, 22 nt
Filed under: Arabidopsis thaliana (thale cress)
Lineage: Eukaryota; Viridiplantae; Streptophyta; Magnoliopsida; Brassicales; Brassicaceae
Source: RNAcentral
AGGUUGCAGCGGUAGAUACAGA